ACGAAUCCGACCUUCGUUGACACCUGGCGAGGGGUAGUCCGGAGAAUGUCGUGAUCACUGCAUAUUCCUUCUCGUGGCAUAGCUCCAAGUGAGCGAGGACAGUUGGGAAAAACCAUGCAGUGGACAGUU
This 129-nucleotide small nucleolar RNA is filed under the name Loa loa (African eye worm). RNAcentral's name for it is "small nucleolar RNA SNORA73 family". The record is from RNAcentral. Lineage: Eukaryota; Metazoa; Nematoda; Chromadorea; Rhabditida; Onchocercidae.